CGGAGCCGUCGCGCUCCGGCCGCGGGCUGCUGAGGUGAGGGUUGGCGAGUGUCUUUUCGUGUACAAACAACGUGGCUGGCGUUUCGUAAGUUAGCCGCUCUGUGCGUCAGUGUCCCCAUCUGGAAAAGGAUGCUCGCUGCGUCGCGUCAAGGUCUCAUUGCCGGUUGGUUACAGACUGACAGGAGUCCUUAUUGGCCCCAUCGUGACUUUUUUUCUGAGCCAUGCUGCUCUUAGGCAAUCUAACAGAUUGGAACCCUGAUAAGAUUGUGCCUAUACACCCUGCACGGGGCACGAGGAGACUGUGAUCAAGUCUGUUACUCGUUACAGUACUGUGAACAUCAACAACAAAAACUGCUUGCGUGGAAACACUGA
This is a long non-coding RNA of Mirounga angustirostris (Northern elephant seal), 372 nucleotides long. RefSeq lists it as uncharacterized. The record is from RefSeq and is a predicted model, not a curated record. The transcript has 3 exons. Lineage: Eukaryota; Metazoa; Chordata; Mammalia; Carnivora; Phocidae.